GCCACCGCCCUGUCCUCCCGUCCUCGGCGUUGCCUUCCCCUCCCUCUUUCCCACUGACGCCUUGAAAACCCUUAUUUGCGCAUUCACUCACGCUUGAGGGUUAAAAGAUUAAGAGUUUCUCUAACCACGGCUACCCUCUAAAAGUCACAUUUUCCCCCUUUUUCCAGUCACUCUCUGAAAGAGAACGAAGUAAUUUUCUGAAGGGAAGCUGCAGAAUAUGGAAAACAUAUAUUGGAGCUACAUGGACAGAGGAUCACAUGAAGCCAAGAGUUGAAGACCAGCCUGGGUAACACAGUGAGACCUCCUCAUCUCAAAAUAACCCAGUGUGGUGGUCCAGCAUGGGUGACAGAGACCCAUCUCUAAAAUUAAUAAACAAAUAAAUCUCUA
RNAcentral lists this small RNA (387 nucleotides) under Pan troglodytes (chimpanzee). RNAcentral's name for it is "processed transcript". Lineage: Eukaryota; Metazoa; Chordata; Mammalia; Primates; Hominidae. The record is from RNAcentral.